AACUAAGUUUGUUCUGGGUAUAAGCUUUCAUGUGCAUGCACACUUCUUCUUCCAUUUCAGUGUAUCUGAAGAAGUGCGCAUGCACACGAAAGCUUAUACCCAGAACAAACUUUUUUGG
Non-coding RNA from Podarcis lilfordi (Lilford's wall lizard), 118 nucleotides. NCBI's taxonomy places the organism in Eukaryota, Metazoa, Chordata, Lepidosauria, Squamata, Lacertidae. The record is from the annotation of a GenBank genome assembly.